AAUCCAUGGUGGGGGAUAUCACGUUCAUACUCUUUAAAACGUUCCCAAGCUUCAUAAAAAAUUGACCGGUCCUUGCUGGAAACUUUGGAUUUUGUUUCUCAGUGGUU
RNAcentral lists this small nucleolar RNA (107 nucleotides) under Eutrema salsugineum. Its description in RNAcentral is "Plant small nucleolar RNA R71". It matches the Rfam family "Plant small nucleolar RNA R71". Rfam says of the family: R71 is a member of the C/D box family of snoRNAs containing the C (UGAUGA) and D (CUGA) box motifs. Multiple nearly identical copies of this snoRNA have been identified in Arabidopsis, and it is thought to function as a 2'-O-ribose methylation guide for 18S ribosomal RNA. Lineage: Eukaryota; Viridiplantae; Streptophyta; Magnoliopsida; Brassicales; Brassicaceae. The record is from Rfam by way of RNAcentral.